CGGCGUGCCUAGACAUCGAAAGUCGAACGCUUUGUCUUUAACUGAUAUGACGAGCUUGCUCUGAUUUGAUUUUAUCUGACAAAGAGUGGCGAACGGGUGAGUAACACGUGGGUAACCUACCUCUUAGCAGGGGAUAACAUUUGGAAACAAGUGCUAAUACCGUAUAAUACCAACAACCGCAUGGUUGUUGGUUGAAAGAUGGUUCUGCUAUCACUAAGAGAUGGACCCGCGGUGCAUUAGCUAGUUGGUAAGGUAACGGCUUACCAAGGCAAUGAUGCAUAGCCGAGUUGAGAGACUGAUCGGCCACAAUGGGACUGAGACACGGCCCAUACUCCUACGGGAGGCAGCAGUAGGGAAUCUUCCACAAUGGGCGCAAGCCUGAUGGAGCAACGCCGCGUGUGUGAUGAAGGGUUUCGGCUCGUAAAACACUGUUAUAAGAGAAGAACGGCACUGAGAGUAACUGUUCAGUGUGUGACGGUAUCUUACCAGAAAGGAACGGCUAAAUACGUGCCAGCAGCCGCGGUAAUACGUAUGUUCCAAGCGUUAUCCGGAUUUAUUGGGCGUAAAGCGAGCGCAGACGGUUAUUUAAGUCUGAAGUGAAAGCCCUCAGCUCAACUGAGGAAUGGCUUUGGAAACUGGAUGACUUGAGUGCAGUAGAGGAAAGUGGAACUCCAUGUGUAGCGGUGAAAUGCGUAGAUAUAUGGAAGAACACCAGUGGCGAAGGCGGCUUUCUGGACUGUAACUGACGUUGAGGCUCGAAAGUGUGGGUAGCAAACAGGAUUAGAUACCCUGGUAGUCCACACCGUAAACGAUGAGUGCUAGAUGUUCGAGGGUUUCCGCCCUUGAGUGUCGCAGCUAACGCAUUAAGCACUCCGCCUGGGGAGUACGACCGCAAGGUUGAAACUCAAAGGAAUUGACGGGACCCGCACAAGCGGUGGAGCAUGUGGUUUAAUUCGAAGCAACGCGA
RNAcentral lists this ribosomal RNA (967 nucleotides) under Weissella paramesenteroides. RNAcentral describes it as "bacterial SSU rRNA". It matches the Rfam family "Bacterial small subunit ribosomal RNA", at positions 40 to 964 of the family's 1533-position model. The record is from RNAcentral. Lineage: Bacteria; Bacillati; Bacillota; Bacilli; Lactobacillales; Lactobacillaceae.